RNAcentral lists this ribosomal RNA (617 nucleotides) under Trichoderma asperellum. RNAcentral's name for it is "eukaryotic LSU rRNA". The stretch from base 234 to 387 matches the Rfam family "5.8S ribosomal RNA". The record is from RNAcentral. Lineage: Eukaryota; Fungi; Ascomycota; Sordariomycetes; Hypocreales; Hypocreaceae.
UAGAAGUCGUAACAAGGUCUCCGUUGGUGAACCAGCGGAGGGAUCAUUACCGAGUUUACAACUCCCAAACCCAAUGUGAACGUUACCAAACUGUUGCCUCGGCGGGGUCACGCCCCGGGUGCGUCGCAGCCCCGGAACCAGGCGCCCGCCGGAGGAACCAACCAAACUCUUUCUGUAGUCCCCUCGCGGACGUAUUUCUUUACAGCUCUGAGCAAAAAUUCAAAAUGAAUCAAAACUUUCAACAACGGAUCUCUUGGUUCUGGCAUCGAUGAAGAACGCAGCGAAAUGCGAUAAGUAAUGUGAAUUGCAGAAUUCAGUGAAUCAUCGAAUCUUUGAACGCACAUUGCGCCCGCCAGUAUUCUGGCGGGCAUGCCUGUCCGAGCGUCAUUUCAACCCUCGAACCCCUCCGGGGGAUCGGCGUUGGGGAUCGGGACCCCUCACACGGGUGCCGGCCCCUAAAUACAGUGGCGGUCUCGCCGCAGCCUCUCCUGCGCAGUAGUUUGCACAACUCGCACCGGGAGCGCGGCGCGUCCACGUCCGUAAAACACCCAACUUUCUGAAAUGUUGACCUCGGAUCAGGUAGGAAUACCCGCUGAACUUAAGCAUAUCAAUAAGCG